This 125-nucleotide small nucleolar RNA is filed under the name Ciona savignyi (Pacific transparent sea squirt). RNAcentral's name for it is "Small nucleolar RNA SNORA63 (ENSCSAVG00000012476.1)". Lineage: Eukaryota; Metazoa; Chordata; Ascidiacea; Phlebobranchia; Cionidae. The record is from RNAcentral.
UUGCAAAUCAACUACAGCACUGCAUAUCUAUUGCUCUGUUGUCGUUCCCUUUGCAUAGAGUAAUUGUGGACUCGCUAUCCUGGGUUACCCACCAUGUGGUUUCACAGGACGAGGUUCACAAACAA